RNAcentral lists this ribosomal RNA (801 nucleotides) under uncultured bacterium. Its description in RNAcentral is "bacterial SSU rRNA". It matches the Rfam family "Bacterial small subunit ribosomal RNA", at positions 66 to 828 of the family's 1533-position model. The record is from RNAcentral.
ACGAGAAUCCGCGUGUUCAAUCUUUCGGGAAAGAACAUGUGGAGGAGAGUGGCGAAAGGGUGAGUAACGCGUGGGUAAUCUGCCCUUAAAUCGGGGACAACCUCUCGAAAGGGGGGCUAAUACCGGAUGUGGUCUCCUUGGGCAUCCAGGGAUGAUCAAAGGCGGGGAACCUUCGGGACCUGUCGUUUAAGGAGGAGCCCGCGUACCAUCAGCUUGUUGGUAGGGUAACGGCCUACCAAGGCUUACGGUUAGCUGGUCUGAGAGGAUGGUCAGCCACACUGGGACUGAGACACUGCCCAGACUCCUACGGGAGGCUGCAGUCGAGAAUCGUUGAAAUGCGCGAAAGCGUGAUCACGCGACGCUGCGUGGAGGAUGAAGGCCUUCGGGUUGUAAACUCUUGUCAUUCGGGAAAAAAGGCUUCGGCAGAAAUAUGGUCGGAGCUGUGAUGGUACCGGAAGAGGAAGCCACGGCUAACUCUGUGCCAGCAGCCGCGGUAAUACAGAGGUGGCGAGCGUUGUUCGGAAUCACUGGGCGUAAAGGGCGCGUAGGCGGCUUCUUGAGUCGAGGGUGAAAACCUAUGGCUUAACCAUAGGCCUGCCCCCGAAACUGAGAAGCUUGAGGCCGUAAGAGGAAAGCGGAAUUCCUGGUGUAUCGGUGAAAUGAGUUGAUAUCAGGAGGAACACCGGUGGCGAAGGCGGCUUUCUGGUGCGGUUCUGACGCUGAGGUGCGAAAGCGUGGGGAGCAACAGGAUUAGAUACCCUGGUAGUCCACGCGGUAAACGAUGGAUACUAGGUGUAGGAG